This is a long non-coding RNA of Gopherus flavomarginatus (Mexican gopher tortoise), 466 nucleotides long. RefSeq lists it as uncharacterized. The record is from RefSeq and is a predicted model, not a curated record. The transcript is spliced from 3 exons. Lineage: Eukaryota; Metazoa; Chordata; Testudines; Testudinidae.
CCCUAUUCCCUUCCCUUAGGUCCUCCUGGACACCCCAGCCCACAGUCAGGCCUCCACAUACAUCCCAGUCAUUCACAUGCUGAGCUAGUUCUUCAGGGACCCCCACAGCCCAGCAAACUUCUCCAUCCAUGAGCCCCAUGGACCUGUGGCCAGGAAGGUGAGGAAGCUCCCACUUUGGCUGGACAGGGUAGCUGAGGACAGACAGGUCUGAGGAGCAGAGCAGGAGCUCUGGGAAGGAGAAGAGCAAUAUGACGAUGGAGUCUAAGAUGAGGCCAGGUAACUUCUGUGGAGGGAGACAUGCUGGACAGGGCCUAGGAUUGGGGAGACAAGCAGGUGUGAGCCCCGGGCUCAGAUUUCUAAUUGUAGCUGUGAUGACAGAAUGGGAGGAGGGUUGAAGCCAAAGCCCUGGGGUGCGGAAGUAGCGAGAAGAGGAGCCUCACCACCAUUGCUUUUUCUUUUCCUCUUG